GAGAGAGUUUGUGUAUAAAAGGAAGAUAAAAGCAACAAGUAAAAGAGAUAUAGACUUGAACACAUAGAAACUGACGGCUAAGAAUUAAGAUUAUCAGGAGACAAAAAAGAAGCUGAUGGAGAAAUUUUCAUUCAAGUCUGCUUUCAUCCUCCUUUUAGCUUUGACUGUGAUGGUGUCUGUAACAGUCCAGAGUGUUGGGGCCAAACGCAUGUUACACGAAGAAACUUCUCGGCCCUUGGUUGAUGUCGAAGCUUCAUUGCCGACGGUUAAGCCACUAAGAGGGGGGUUUGAUUUUUGUACACCAGACUGCAAAGAGUUUUGUUUUGGUACCGGUUGUUAUUGCGAUUGUCCUACUCCUCCAUCAACUCAUGAAUAAAUUGUAUGAUCAACUUCUGAUUAAAAAAAAGUAUUUGUAAGAAAUUAUGUGUGAUAAACUAAGAAGAAUAAAUCUUUAAAAUAUAAGAAUAUUUUAUGGA
Long non-coding RNA from Raphanus sativus (radish), 476 nucleotides. RefSeq lists it as uncharacterized. The transcript has 3 exons. The record is from RefSeq and is a predicted model, not a curated record. NCBI's taxonomy places the organism in Eukaryota, Viridiplantae, Streptophyta, Magnoliopsida, Brassicales, Brassicaceae.